RNAcentral lists this ribosomal RNA (440 nucleotides) under uncultured bacterium. Its description in RNAcentral is "partial 16S ribosomal RNA". It matches the Rfam family "Bacterial small subunit ribosomal RNA", at positions 338 to 795 of the family's 1533-position model. The record is from RNAcentral.
CCUACGGGGCGCAGCAGUGGGGGAUAUUGCACAAUGGGGGGAACCCUGAUGCAGUGACGCCGCGUGGGUGAAGAAGCGCCUCGGCGCGUAAAGCCCUGUCAGCAGGGAAGAAAAUGACGGUACCUGAAGAAGAAGCCCCGGCUAACUACGUGCCAGCAGCCGCGGUAAUACGUAGGGGGCAAGCGUUAUCCGGAUUUACUGGGUGUAAAGGGGGCGCAGACGGCGAUGCAAGCCAGGAGUGAAAGCCCGGGGCCCAACCCCGGGACUGCGUUUGGAACUGCGUGGCUGGAGUGCAGGAGGGGCAGGCGGAAUUCCUGGUGUUGGGGUGAAAUGCGGAGAUAUCAAGAGGAACACCGGGUGCGGAGGGGGGCUGCUGGACUGCAACUGACGUUGAGGCCCGAAAGCGUGGGGAGCAAACAGGAUUAGAUACCCUGGUAGUC